CAGUAGCCGCGGGAAUACGAAGGGGGCUAGCGUUGCUCGGAAUGACUGGGCGUAAAGGGCGCGUAGGCGGUUCGUACAGUCAGAUGUGAAAUUCCUGGGCUUAACCUGGGGGCUGCAUUUGAUACGUGCGGGCUUGAGUGGGGAAGAGGGUCGUGGAAUUCCCAGUGUAGAGGUGAAAUUCGUAGAUAUUGGGAAGAACACCGGUGGCGAAGGCGGCGACCUGGUCCUUGACUGACGCUGAGGCGCGAGAGCGUGGGGAGCAAACAGGAUUAGAUACCCCGGUAGUCCCUGUCUCUUAUAC
RNAcentral lists this ribosomal RNA (301 nucleotides) under uncultured bacterium. Its description in RNAcentral is "partial 16S ribosomal RNA". It matches the Rfam family "Bacterial small subunit ribosomal RNA", at positions 509 to 807 of the family's 1533-position model. The record is from RNAcentral.